This 253-nucleotide ribosomal RNA is filed under the name uncultured bacterium. Its description in RNAcentral is "partial 16S ribosomal RNA". It matches the Rfam family "Bacterial small subunit ribosomal RNA", at positions 524 to 776 of the family's 1533-position model. The record is from RNAcentral.
UACGUAGGUGGCAAGCGUUGUCCGGAAUUAUUGGGCGUAAAGCGUGCGCAGGCGGUGAUGUAAGACAGAUGUGAAAUCCCCGGGCUCAACCUGGGAACUGCAUUUGUGACUGCAUCGCUGGAGUGCGGCAGAGGGGGAUGGAAUUCCGCGUGUAGCAGUGAAAUGCGUAGAUAUGCGGAGGAACACCGAUGGCGAAGGCAAUCCCCUGGGCCUGCACUGACGCUCAUGCACGAAAGCGUGGGGAGCAAACAGG